GUUUACUCUGAGGGUUGUGGACUAGACAAGGUGUUGAUGUCAUGGGGUCACGAUGAUUAUAUGUACUUGGUUGCAAAAGAGAAUGGGACAACGUUGCCAUCAGCUGGUCUUUUCAUUAUUAGAUAUCAUUCAUUUUAUGCCCUGCACAAGUCUGGAGCUUACAAGGAACUAAUGAAUGAGGAAGAUAAGGAAAAUCUUAAGUGGCUUCAUAUUUUUAACAAAUAUGACUUGUACAGCAAAAGCAAAGUUCAGGUUAACGUGGAAGAGGUCAAGCCUUACUACAUGUCUCUAAUUGAAAAGUAUUUCCCAGCAAAGCUGAAAUGGUGAGGAGGAGAUGCGUUUAG
This 344-nucleotide unclassified non-coding RNA is filed under the name Hevea brasiliensis (rubber tree). The record is from RNAcentral. Lineage: Eukaryota; Viridiplantae; Streptophyta; Magnoliopsida; Malpighiales; Euphorbiaceae.